This is a long non-coding RNA of Equus caballus (horse), 3115 nucleotides long. The record is from Ensembl. Lineage: Eukaryota; Metazoa; Chordata; Mammalia; Perissodactyla; Equidae.
GGCUUCACUUAGCAUAUUGUCCUCAAGCUUCAUCCGUGUUGCAGCGUGUGUCAGGAUUUUCUUCCUUUUUAAGGCUGAAUAAUAUUCCCUUGUAUGUCUAUAUCACAUUUUGUUUCUCUGUUCAUUCUCAAUGGACAUUUGAGUUGCUUCUGCCUUCUGGUUAUUGUAAAUAAUGCUGCUCUCCGCACUUUUAUAGGGUCUUUAUCCCAAAUUUUGUGUGUGACGUAUUUUUGGUAUGUGUUCAGGUGUGGGGUCUCUGAAAUCUUUGAGGGUCUAUAUACCAAGGUAUGACUCGGAGGUAUUUGGACUCUUUUUCACUAUAUGAGGUUUUAAAAUGCUUUGAUGGUCUAUGUUCCAAGGUUUGAGUCUGAGGUAAUUAGGUUCUGUAAUCAGUGUCUGUGGUCACUGAGAUCCUUCAGAGUCGGUGCUCCAUGGUUUAGGUCUGAUUUAUUUGGGAGGUCUGGGUUUAGGGUCUGAAGUCUUAGAACUUUUAGAGCAUCUGUCCAAAUUUGGUUCUGAGGUAUUUGGUGUUGGAAAUCAGAGUGUGAGAUCCUUGAACUCUCUGAGUAUCUGUGCUCCAAAGUUUGAAUCUGAGAUAUGUGGGGUUUGUGUUCAGGGUGUGCGGUCUCUGAAAACUUUGAUGGUCUGUGUUUUAAGAUAUCAGUCUGAGGUGUUUGGAAAUUUGUGUUUAGGGCCUCCUGUCUCCAAACUCUUGAGGCUCUGUCCCAUCGUAGUGUUCGGGUAUUUGAGUGUCUGUGUUCAUGGUGUGAAGUCUCUGAAUAUUUGAGAGUUUGUUUUACAAGGUUUGAGGCUGAGGUAUUUGUGCUUCUCUGUUUAAGGUGUGAGGUCUCUGAAAUUUUAGAUGGUCUGUUUUCUGAGUGUGGAUCUGAGGAUUUGGGGGUCUGCUUUCAGGGAGGGAGCUUUCCAAACUCUUGGAGGCUCUCAUCCAAGGUUUGAAUCUGAUAUAUUUGAGAUUUCUGUUCUAGGUGUGAAGUUCCUGAACUGUAUGAGGCUUCAUGUCGCAAGGUUUUAGUCUGAGGUAUGUAUAUCAAGUUUUGAGGCUUAUGUAUUUGGUGAUAUCUGGUCAGGUUAUGAGGUCUGUUUUAACAUAGGUUUUGUUAUUAUUUAGGCCAACAGAUCAGGAAAUGACUGCCAUUGAAAACACAGUUUGUUAUACUCACAGAUUCCAAGAGAAGGGGGCAUGCCGUACCAUGGGGUGCCACAUGGCGAAGCACCAGGGCCAGUCACGAAGCAGAGGGAGCUAGGGAAAUUGUGGAUAAGAGUCUUUACUGUGGUUUCCACAGGAAGGAAUGGGCUAAGCAGGGUAAGCAGGCUUAGGAUGGGCUAAUUUGAAUAAUUUCAGUGGGCUCUGGUAUAGGAGUUGUCCCUAGCUGUCUGGUACCUGGCUCUUGGUGAUUAGGGCACAGAAAUAGUGGUCUGGAGUGUGAGAGCCUGAUAGAGGAGGUAUUUAGGGUGAGGGCUCUGGAUUGGUUAGUUUAUAUUUGAAAAGCACUCUCUCAGGCAAGUUGUUUACUAUUUCUAGGACUUGACUAACUCUGGGAGGGUCAGUCCUUCCAGGGUCAGCCAGGCCCUAGAUGUCAAAGCAUCAGAAUACAGAAAAUAAAAGAAAGGGUGAAUGCAAGUUCUCUGAAAUCAUUGACAGAGUGUGUCUCAACAUUUGAGUCUGAAAGUAUUUGGAGUUUUGUUACUGGGUGAGGUCUUUGAGUGCAUUGAUGGUCUGUGUCCUGUGGUUUUAGUCUGAGGCGUUUGCAGUCUGUGUUCAGGGUUUGAGAUAUCUGAUCUCCUUGAGGAUCUGUGACCCAAAGUUUGGAUGUAGGGGUUUUGUUUUGGGGGGGGGGGGUCUUUGUUCAGGAUGUGAGGACUCAACUCUUUGAGGGUCUGUGUCCCAAGUAUUGAGUCUGAAGUAUCUGGAAGUCCAUGUUCUUGGUGUGAGGUCUACGAACUUUUUAUUGUCUACAAUAUUUCAGCUUCUUCAUUGAGUGUGUAAAGUUUCUAAACUCUUUGAGUGUGUUUAUCCUCAAGAUUCAGUGUGACGUAUUUGGGGUCUGAGUUUAGGGUUUGUGCUUCCUAAAUGCUUUGGUGAUCUUUGUUCCAGGGUUUGAGUUUGAGGUACCUGGGGAUCUGUGUCCAGGGCAUUAGGUCUCUGAACUCAUUGAGGGUUUGUGUUCCAAGUUUUGAAUCUGAAGUAUUUCUAGGGUCUUUAUUCAAGAUAUGAGGUCUCUGAAAUCUUUGAGAAUCUGUUUUUCCAAGUUUAUGUCUGAGGUAAUUUGGAGUCUGUGUUCCGUGUAUGAGGUCUCUGAAGUCUUUCAGGAUCUGUUCCAAGGUUCAGCCUGAGGUACAGUAUUUUGGUGUCUGUGUUCAGGGUGUGAGGUCUCUAAACUCUGAGAGUCUGUGUACCAAAAUCUGAGACUUAAUUGUCCAUGUUACUCCGGUCAGGGUAUGAGUCCUGAACUCCUCAAAGGUCUGCUCUUCAAGAUUUGAGUCUGAGGCGUCUGAGAGGUCUGUGGUCAAGGUGUGAGGUUCCUGAAAAUCUUCGAGGUUCUGUCUUUGAAGGUUUAUAUCUCAGGUUUUUGUGAUGUGUUCAAGGUGAGAGGUCCCUGAACUUUUGAGGUCUAUGUACCAAGUGUUAAGUCUUAAGUAUUUAGUGUGCUCUGGUUAGGGUGUGAGUUCUCUGAUUUCAUUGGAAUUCUAUGCCCCAAGGAUUGAGUUUGAGGCAAUUGGGGGUCCAUGAUCAGGGUAUGAAAUCUCUAAAGUUUUAGAGGGUCUCUUCCCCAAGGGUUGAGUCUGAGGUAUUUGGUGAGUCCGUAUUCAGGAUAUGAGAUCUCUGAAGUCUCUAAGGAGUCUGUGCUUCAAUGUUUGAGUAUGAGGUGUUUGGGUGUUCGUCUUCAAGGGGUGAGUUCUCUGACCUUGUAGACGUUCUAUGUCCUAAGUUUUGUUUGAAUUAUUUGGAGUCUAAGUUCAGAAUGUGAGGUCUUUGAACUUUUUCAUUGUCUUUUUUUCAAUUUUUAAUCUGAGACUUUGGGAUUUGUGUUCAAGAUGUGAGGCCUUUGAACUCUUUGAGGGUAUGUAUCCUAAAGAUUGUGUCUGAGGUAUU